CUAACAUAUUGUCCGGAGCGCUGAAUAAUUACUGCAGCGUUCUCUCAGGUCUGCAGGCCGAGCUCACCUCCGGUCAGCGGCUGUGGGAACCCGGCAGAGAAAUGCCCGUUUCAAUGUGUUGCUUGGUUUGAUGCUGCUUCGUGCCGCUGCUGCAAUCUGCCAAACGAGCCCACGUUGCCUCCGCGCUGAUCGCCGUGUUUAUGCAACGUCUAUUUGUUCAAUUAUUCACUGCGUCUCCUGUCACAUUUUACUCGCCGUGGCCUUGUUUUAUUACUGUCAUAAGUGCAGUAAAACUCUUAUGUGGCAAUAAAUAAGCUCCAUAGGUAAUUUAAAUAAAACAAAAUAUAUGUGUGUAUAUAUUUUGGGGGGUCGUUGAGAAUAAAUGGAGCCCACAGGCCGAACGUAUCUACCUCCGACCCGUCUAUUGCUCUGACAACAAUCUGCCCUUCAGUCAAGGACUUUACUCUUAUUUACAGCGUUCACGUCUGGCAGACUGGUAAAAACAACACGCAAUAUAGAACGAAUUACGGUACCGUUGUGAUAAACGGGUUGUUUUUUUUGUUUGUUUCUAACCAGAUUCCGAUUUGUCAUCAGACACGACAGGAUGGAACCAUAGAAAAAAGCGUAUCAAUAAAUAUAACAGAAAAACAUUGUAGAAAAAUAACGUUAUUUAAAAGUUUGCACUAAAAAUCCGUUUAAAGAAACUCAUUUGUAACCCGGUGCAGAUAUUUGCUCGUUGUUCUCUUGGAGGUUAUGAAGGCCUUUCUGGAGGAGCAGUAACGGGGCGAUCACUUUAAAGGUGCUACAUGAAAUCAGUGAACACACUCAAUCACCAUGAAAUAGCAACUUUGGAUCGUUUCCCCCCCGACGUGUUUGUGACAACUUACAACCUUCUGAUGAACAUCUGAGUUUUCUCAAAGAGAAACGUAAAUAGUCUGCAGGGAUCACUCCGCGCUCACACAUGCAACAAUUUAUACUUGUGUACCUUUGCGUCAGCCUGUCAUAGCUGAAACUGAGCUGUUUAUGAAACUGCACUCUACUUGGUGCCCCCCCCCGGCCCCCCGUUACCAACCACACACACAUGGAUGCAAACGUGUCUUCUGGCCAUGAAAAAGCUGUCUGUACUCAUUUGUAGUCUCCGGCCCGAGGACGAAUCAGAUCACCGCGUUGGCGGCUGCCGCCCCCGCCUGCUCAUCGAAGCCCCCAAACCUCCCCACCCCCUCUCCCCAGCUCGUGGCUACUGGCCCAGCCGGGGCCCAGGUAGUGCCGGGGGGGGGGGGGGGGCUCAUUCGGCAGCCUGCAGAUGCUGCUCCUGCUCGGACUCUGCGUCCCCCAAACGUCUCCCCGGUGCCGGGGGACCAGACGCAUUACUGUGGGGGGGGGGUGACAUUAAAACUACCAGAGAGGACAGAAGGCCCUGAACUCACCACGCAACCCCCCCUGGGUAGGAAUCAAGAGUAAAUACAGCGCAUCACGCUAAGAGCCGCCGAGCCGACCGGCAGCCGCUAACGUGGACGCCGCUAACGUUGAGGUCGCUAACGUGGAGGUCGCUAACGUGGAUGCCGCUAACGUGGAGACCGCUAACAUUGAGGCCGCUAACGUGGAGGCCGCUAACGUUGAGGUCGCUAACGUGGACGUCGCUAACGUAGAUGCCGCUAACGUGGAUGCCGCUAACGUCGAGGCGGGUUCAAAGCGGACGGGAGCCGGUGCACCUUGUGAAUGGACGGAAUUCAUUUCAUGCUAAUGACCAUAAUCCACAGCGGACGAGAGACGAGGCAAAACAACUGCAUCGGCCUCUUAAUGCGAUCAGUCGCCACGAUCGUCUCCCCGAUAACGGUUCAUCAAACGAGGGCCGAGUCAUUAAUAAAAGAACACAGUCAAAGCACCUUGGGGAUCUCCUUUUGCUCCCUCGCCCCGCUCUCCAACCGACUUAUCAUUAAAGCAAGUAAGAAGCUAUAUCUGAAUGAAAUCUCAUUGUUGGCUUUCGAGAUGUGAAUAAAAUUCCAUUUCAAAUUAGGCGUCAUUAGCAUCACUGAGAGACGGGAGAUUCGGGUGACCUUUUCGUUCCGGGUGUCUGGAUCUUGGAAGUUUUUCUCCUCUCCCUCGUUUGCAGAAGUGAAGGGAAGGUUUUCUCUCUUUGCUUCCACUCACAAGUUUGACCUCCAAAUGCAGACAUCCUGCUUUUGACAUAAGUGGGUUUUACCUCCUUUUGAAACAAAAGCUAUGCUAAUCCACCAGGCCCUUGUUCAUCACCUGUCAAUCUUCUUUCUCUUUGCAACUCUUGUUGCAUAGUUCCCUUAGUUGUUAUUGUCGUGGUGCCUCUUUUUAACGGGGCAUUUGUUUGGAUGUUAGCCAGGCGGAGACGGUCUGAUGAAAUAUUCUGAGCUGCAUUACUGGGAUUAUAGAUCGUGGGAAGGUCCUCUUUGUCCUCAUUGGGGGGCUCGUUGUUAUUUAAAUGCAUGUAGGAUGUUUGAGUUAACUAUGUAAUGUUAUUGGUUCAAACCGACUUGCUGGAUUGACACGGGUCAGAAGGAGCAAUGAGGGAAAAGAGCGGGGGGGGUCAGAGGUCAGACCAAUAAACCAACAACGCAUCGAUUUCCCGCUCUGCCUUGCGAGCAAACCUGCUCUCCUCCAUCAAGACCCCCGUCCCCCCCCCCCCACGACGGAUCCCACGUGGACAACCUGAAUUUACAUCACGUGACGCGGCCCGAACGCCGUGCACGUCCCACAUUAAACCAGGUGGCCUGGUUCCUCUGUAAUUCCACCAUCAUCAAGUGCUGAGCGUUCUUCUUCUCCUCUAUUUUCCUCCCACAGUGAACGCUUUCUCCCCCCUGUGUUUUUAAUCCCUUCGCGCCCUAAUUGGCCUCUUUCCUGCAAAGUGAGUUCAACCUGCGAGCAGAUGAAACGGGCGCCGGGCCGCUCCGUGUUCCCAAGCAUGAAGCGAGCGGGUUUUUCAGCUGGUUUCCAAGCUUCUGCAAUUAAAAGGCUCCACGACGGGUGAAGCGGCUCCCCCGAAGAACCGCUUCACCCGCGCUGCGCCUGGAGACGAGGCUCCGCCGGCCGCUCUCAGGCCGCGACGUGCGUGACCGCCGCCCACGAGGGAGGUUGGGCCCUGACCGGGGAGAACGUCCCCCCCGCAAGAUGCACCAGCCUGUUGGUAAUUAUAGAAAUAGUCCCUCGUGCAUCGAGGCCUGAUAUUAAAAUGGAUUGGGGGAAAUAAACGGUUUGUUCUACGGGGAAAUACUUUAUAGAUAUCAUGUAGAUGUUUAGUAGCACUACGUUUAAUUGAACGAGACGUCAUACAAUAAUCAGCUAACACAAUAACAACGAAGGCCAAACAUUAUCUGAUGCACAUGGAAGUCAAACGUUGGCAGGACACGUUGAGGCGGCUCCAGAUGAGCCGCACACGAUGCGCUUUGGAAGCCUGUUUGUUGCUUCCGUGUUUGUUCGCUGCGCCGUGUUGAACUGGAAAUCUCUACCAGCAACUUAGAAUCCGGAUUGUUUAGCCACGCGUCUUGGCAGAGCUCCUCCAGUGCCGUAACAUCCGCGUUCGUUUAUUCGUUUGUUUGUCUGUUUACGUUUUACGUUUGCUUAUUUAUCCAUCUCUUUAUUUUUUAAUGAGUUGAAAAUCCACCAGAGGAUCCGGGCCAUGAAAGUUUAAAACGUGUACAGUAGCAGUGAGGGGAAAAUAUUUACAUUGAAGCUGGCCACAAUCUCAGAAGAUCCUCAAAUGUGGGUUAGAGCUGCAAAGGGAAAAUGCAAAUGUCCUUUUCUGCCGGGAUUCACAAACAAGCGGCGUCCUGAUUGAUUCAACAAACGGCUUUUAUCUCUCAAAGUGUUAAUUAGCACAGACGGGCUUCGCUUUCUGUGGCACGUUGCAGCUUUUCUGACAAAGACAAACUUCCUGUCCCCCCCGAACCCUCUGCGGGACGCUGAGGUCCAGAGAGCCGGUGGUCCGACCACACGGGGUCACCAGGGGUCACCAGGGGUCACCGCGCGUCUUUGAGGUUCCGGUUGAGCUUUGUGAUUUAAAUACGACAUAAAAAAGGCCUCACAGGUUUCUAGCGGGCGAUGCACCGGCGACCCGUCUCCACCAGCUGGUUCUGGUUCUACAGGUGGAGACCGCCGACGUGGCACAGGUGUGUGUGUGUGUGUGUGUGUGUGUGAGAGAAAAGAAGGAUUCCCCUCCAGACGGGGGAACCACGAGGAGAACCAGCGGAGCCGCUGGGGCCCCCGAGGAAAAGCCCCGGACGCCUGCGAACGCGUCCUCUGGUUCCCGCUCGCGUCUCGUUGGCGUCCCGGAGUUUUGAUCUCAUCCAGUCGGACACUUUGAGGGAAUAUUUUGCUCCCCGCCAUCCCAAAGCAAUCUGAAUAAUUUCCAUCUGCAUAUUUUAAGUCUCAAUCUAUCUUUGAUGUCUUAUUUGUGUGAUUAUGUCUCCCUGCUUGCAAAAAAACCCCAGCCAAUGCACCAACUGUCAACCACUCGUGGCACUUUCCCCCCCUUCCUCCCCCCUUCCUCCCCCCUUCUUCCCCGCGCACGGUUGGGACUGCUUUUGAUUUCUGAUUUUCCUUCUCUCUUUUUUUUCGGGUGGGAUCAAAGCAGAACUCCCUCAUGCUCCGCUCGGAGUAAACAAAAUGGACGAGACGGAGAAAGUUUGAAAGCUCGUGGACGCGCGUCCUGCCGAAUCUCCGGCGUCUUUAAACCCGUUAAGAAUGGCGCUUUUUUUUUUUUUUCACGGGGGCGGGCGGCCAUCUUAACCUGGGCAAUUAAAACGGAGACAAAGCGCGGAGGCUGCAGAACGCCGGCGACAGCGGCCGCGCCACCUCUAAUUAUUGACCGGCCCCCGGCUCCACUUCAUUACUCUCCUUCCUGCGGUAAUUUGUAUCGGCCCGACACUCGUCAUCUUUCCCUGGUAACCUUUAAUUCAUCUGCUGUUUGCACUUCUGUCUGCUGAAGUCGGGCUGCGGCGGGCCGGCCGUCCGCACGCAGAGAAGCUGUAAAUUGGUGGUGAGGAAACCGCCGAGCUUUACAAAUAAGACACGAGAUGCUUGAGCGCUUUAUUCUCCCUUUCGUUCAGUCGCUGCUCAGAAGAGAUGCAAAGUCGUGGAUGUUGGACGAGUGAUGAUUCAACGCUGCGUCCUUUGUCUUUCGUCCUCUCCUUCCUCUCUCAACCUCGUUCUCGUUGGCCUCCCGCUCUUCAUACCCGCGUGCCUUCUUGACCCCUCGUGCCCUUUUCUCGCUCGUCACUUCUCUGAGUCACACGCCGGGCUUCACGAGGAGGCGCCGACUCCGUGCAUCUGCUAAGCUCCUCCCACCUGCUUCCCCCGCGAGGCGCAAAACAAACGCCAGGGAUUAUUGCCUCUCACAUGUGACCCGGGCGCCGCGCGUCCACGCGGCACCUUGAUCCCUCCCCGAGUCGCUCCAAGCUGUGCAAACACACGCCAGCGGCAUCCGAGCGUCCCGACCCGACAUCAAAGCGCCCGCCGGGAUUCCUGCAGGUUGUUUCAGAGGCCGGAGCCACGGGGAAGAAGCAGCGCUUCUUAUUUCAACAUAAGACGGAGGGCCGAUCGGACGCCUCUGGGUCCGGUACCACGACAAGUGUGUAUAAAUAUAUAUAUACGCAUACAAACCCGGGACCAGUCCAGUUAUUCAAUGCUUUGCUCUGUUUUAUUAAUAUUGAAGACCUGCAAACUGACACAAUUCAUGAGUUGAACGAACCAGAAUGUCUCUGAUAUUCUAUAUUCUUUUGUUCCUUCAUCCCGAGCAUCUCGAUGGGGUUCAUGCGGGGUGACCAGGUCACGUGACGCAGCACCCCGUCACUCUCCUCCCCCUCCGUCGAACAGACGCCGUCUUUGUGUGUCUCCUUUCCGCCCGGGAAAAAGAACCAAAAAGUAUUUUUUAAGAGUAAACUCUUUUUGCUCUGAGGCAGAAGAGGAGUAAACUCUCGCCGCCUGCACAAACAGAAGCGCACUUUACGCAGACACACACGAGUGAAUGCCACUCUGUGUGUCUCUGUACACACAAACCACUUGCUAAUCACGCGGCGGGCACAUGGCAACAAACCGUCGGAUGAUAAUGAUGCAAUCCCCGUGUCAACCGGCCCCUCGAGUGGAGAGCGGGGGGAACAAAACAGUGGCUGCAAAGAAGAGGUGUGUCUCUCCGUAUGAAAAUCCAAUGCAAAUAGGCUUCCACCCCCGUGGUACUUGAACUGUUUUCUCUUUGAUAACCCAAUUAUUGUCUCAAGAGCUGUGUCAAUUGCUCUAGCGAUCUCUUCUUGAACAAAUCACUCCCCUAACCUCGAGCACUUUCGAUUUGAUUCUGCCAUUUUUUGCCAGUUCAAAGUAAUCAGAGGAGGCCUCGGCUGAGGACGGGGAUUGAUUUUGUGUUCUCGCUUAUCAUGCUAAUUCCCUGAAAAUCAGCCUUUUUCAUCCCCCUCCGCCUGAUUACCACUCUUGGAAAAAAGGCCCCUGAACUGGGUCCCGCUCCCCCGGUGCCGCUGUCGUCGCGCAUCCCCCACAAUCCUCUGUUCUCGUCCCCUCUGCGGCUCGCGGCCGGCCCGGGCCCCCGACUCCACUCACUUCUCCUCCCGUUCCUCAGCUUCCGCCGGUGGGCGGGCUCUGCUUCAGACGCUGGUCGUCGCUGCGCGCCGGCACCUCAGGAAGAUCACGUUACGAGAUCCUGAUUAAAGCACCGGCAUGUUACAUAUUGCACACAAUGCCAUUAAUUACGUCUUCGAUGGGAGCUUGUUUGUUAUGAUGAUGCACGCCGCUUUGUUGCUCCGCCCGGUUUGGAUGGAAACUUCUUCAUUUGUUGAUGCGACAUUCAGGGGCUCACCUUUCCUCCUUCUUUUAGAGCAGCUCUUUGCCAGUUUUAAGAAGUAAAUAAUUGCUGGUGGAACUUGUUAUCUCAAAUUAAAUCAUUAAAAAUGCAGAUUUAGGUGGGAAUAAUGAAUCCCAGGGGGGGGGGGUCUGAAUGGUUUUGUGCUUAAUUGAAGUUUACACACGGCUGUGAUGCCACGUCCCGUUUUCUGAAAAUAUUUGCCGAGCGCAUUUGUAAACAUUUAACAGCCUUAAUCAAGUCAUUAAUCAAGCAAAUUGCAAUCAUAACGUCCAAUUGUUUUCUGAUGGAUAAAUAAAUGAUAAACAGUCAUUUCUUUUAAUUGAACCCGUCUGUUUGGUAGCAGGCACCUUUGUGCCUCGUGUGCCGAAUCAAAGACAUCCUGCAGCACUAAGCUCCGGGCUUUUGUCUUGAUUAGGACUCAUUUCGGGAGGUUUGCUUGGUGCGUAAGACGAAAAGUACUGCAGCAUGAAGACUUUGACUUUGAUCGGGGCUGAGAUGGUAAAUGGAAGAUAAAUAUAGUUAGUGUACAGGAGGAGAUCAUCUUCUCUUUAGUACCCUCCCCCUGACAACGAUCGACCAAUCACGGCUCAGCAUGGCUCAUCACCAAGCUUUUGUUAAGUCCCUUUAUGCAUCAAUAUUAAAAGUAUUUCUGAAUUCCUGCGUAGCAUCACGUAGCGCGUUCGCUGCCCGUUGUUUGAGGAAGGACCAUUUUUGGGGGGUAAAUCGUCUGCGGUUGUGACCGUAAACUCUUAACGGUUCAAUACUUAAUGUGAAGGCUCGCUUAGCGGUGAGGGGAAAUCUGGGAAAACAUUGUGAGCCCUCCCCUCUAAUUUAAAGGAAAAAUUGCCUCUGAAAGUGAUUUUCCACAGGCAGCGGUUCCUCAGACUGGAGAGCAGAGCUCCAGGUCGGACUGACGGGGGGGAGAUGUUCCAUCCCAGCGAGUCUCAUUCAGCGCCGCGGCUUCCAGCUGAGAAUCAGGAAACGUCGCCGCGUCCGCCAGUUGUUUUCCGUCAUUCAGCUCCAGGAGCUGUCCGAAGGCGACGUCACCGCCGAGCAGCUGAUUCACCUUCUCUAAUUAGAAGAGAGGAGGACGGCCGCGUUCCUCACGCGCAGCAGAUCCUCCAUGUGGUGCGAGCCGUGGAUCCGCGGGACUCAGGGGCGUGCAGAGUGGCGUGUAUAGUUCACGGAGGGUCGAUGCCGGCCGACCCGGAUCCCCUUCAGAGGCAAACGCUCGCCCUUAGCUUUGCUGUGUUUUGGGGGCACGAGAUGAUAAAUAACGGAAGUCCUGUCAGCAGAGCGCGCGUGACCUCCAGGCGGGAUGCGGCCUGCUGAUCUGCAUCCUCCACGCGGCCUUUACCAGAGUUGUCCCACUUUUCAACGUGGCGCUGUGGGGGGGGGGGGGGGGACGAGGCCCGCUGACCCGCGGCUAACGGAAUCACUCUCACCUAGCGCCCGCCGCUGUCCCACUGCGUUUGCACGCGGGUUUCUUUUUGUUGAACCAAUUAAAAGCUGCCUACUCGAGGGUUGUCUGCUUUUCCUCCGUUUCACUGUGAUUUGUGAGAAACGUCAUUACCGAACUUGCUGCAGAGAGAAAGUGACGAAAGUGAGUUUUGCAUUGAUGAAGAAGAAACAAAACAGUUCUUUUCUUUUUAAAGUUUUGGAGGCAUCUCGCGUGUCUUGUCUGCUCAUUUCCACGCAGACGAUAUUCUGAGACCUGAACCGCCUCAGAGCAAGUUUGGGACUUUUCCUGCAGCCGGACGGCCACAGAUUUCCUCGGCCAUCCGUCACGUGGCCGCGCCUCAUUUCUGCACGUCUGCUCUUCUGAUCAGAUCCCGCUGACGUCGAUGGGUCGCACAAACACGCGGGACGGAUGCAGGAAGAGCCUCCAUCUAACCUCCAUCAAACCUCCAUCUAACCUCCAUCAAACCUCCAUCAAACCUCCCGUAUUCUACCGGCUCCUUUUUACCGACGCACAUAUUUUAACAGGGCACGUGGAGCGCGAUUAUUUGCCCACUUGUCACUCGUGCUGCAGGAGAGCCCCCCCCCCUCCCCCCCCCUCAAGUGAUUGGACGCUGAAAUGCGCACUGACGUCUGUUCCUCGCCUCCACCAACAGUCGUUCCUUAACUGAUUUCCCGCCCAGACUCGGCUCGAGUGCCAGCAGUCACUUCUUGUCAGGGCAUGAAGCGGUAACGCUGAGAAACACCGGGGGGGGUGAGGGGGGGCACGGGGAAAAACAAUUUCUAAUCUCACACCUCCACUUACUUGUGAUGAGCCCUGAAGCGGCGCUGAAUGAAUGCCAGACCUGGAUACCUCAGGAAGUGGCAGAAAGUGGAGCUGUUGUCGGUUCUGAGUCACUCGUCUUCACAGGUGCCUCCGAGAUGCUCCCCCCCCCCCCCCCCCCCCAAACGCGGCCGCGUUCCCUCAAAAUAAAACCCCCGUUUUCCCUUCAUCCGCCGCGGCGCGGUGACAGCGAGGUGACUGACAGCCACUGUGCCAUUUAACCGCCGUGACCUUCCUCACAUGUCGCCGCCCCGCUGAAAAGGUCGCCCUCGUUGCACUAAUGAGUCGUCUGAUUUCCGGAGCGCCGCGGCGUCUUGGGUGAGUGGAGGUCCGUGUGUUGUCAGACGGGUGGAGGAAGGUGGAGGUGCGUCGCUGACGUCGCUGGGAUUGUCAGAAUGAGCGGAUCCCAUCUUACUCCAGCUAAACGCCGCCAGGAAGCAGCAUCAACAAAAAGCUAAUGGAUUCCAGGCUGCAGGUGGACACUUAAUUACAGGAAAUUUAUUAGGCAACGUCCAUUAAUCACGCCGACAUGGAGUUAUUAGAGGGGUGCACUCGCCGCAUAACGCAGUAAUAUUAGGACGGGACGCCACCGCAAUUGGAUUGUUGUACACGGACAAGAGACCUGAACAUUGUUUAAUUUGGAUGAAUGUGGAAUUCCAACAUGUUUACACAGAAGUGCUGCUUCCUCUCCAGAGACGCCAACACAACUCGCUCCUAUCAGCAGAAUGAUUCGACUGCUACUGAGCCCUAACGUGUGAGCACGGUGCACUUAAAGAUAUAAAUAUGAACAAAAAGCAACCUAGAUCAAGCUGCGCAAUGCAACAUUACAAGGCUACUAUUUCAAAAUAAAAGCAUACCGAGACAAUCUGCUAAUAUAAUGUUGUCUUUGCAAGAGACGCCAUGAAUGUGAAGAAGACAUUUAAAUAGAAUGCAGCACAGCUCACACUGGUUUGAGAUCCUUUGUGAUCUUCAGGGCUCCUGAAAUGGUAGCAAGUGACUAAUCCACAUCUCCCUUUCCAAGAACCUGUCUGCAUCCUCCUGAAGGAGGGACUGAGAAAUUGGCCUUAUUCCCCACACACUCGGAGGCAAGUGGCAAUUAAAGCGCUGAUUAAGGCGAGCCCGCUCUCGAACACAACUUCAUGGAGUCUGACAGAGCAGUGGGGAGACGGGGAGAUAAUUCAGAAAUCUCCUGACCUUGUGCUUAUUAUCUCCGGCUAAUGACUGCUGCCGCCGGCCUCCUGGCGGAGCAGGAACCUGGUCAACCUGCCUCCUUCCUUUGGUUCCUCUCGCCUCCGCGUGCCGACCGCGUCCUCGGGGGCGUCGGCCUAAUUUGUUUAUAAAGUGCUUUCUGUCCCAGUUUCCCUCAGAGACGUGACGUUGGAUCUGUCUCUGCUUUGUGGCGACAACCUGGAUCUGGUUUCAUGCACAUUUCAUUCAGUGGUUUUUACCCAGAAUGCUUUUCUCUGCGGGAGCCGCCCUCCAUGCAGGGUUAAUAAAUAAAGACCAUCUGAGCGCAGAGCUAUCGGGAAGCUGUCUGACUCAUUGCUAUUGAUCCAUAAUGUGAUCAAAUUCAUUAUGCUUAUUAAGUGCUGCGGGCCGGCUCGCUCUCAUGCGGCGCUCGCCCGGCGACCUCGGGGUGAAGCUCGUGCAUCCAGCCGGCCGCAGGAAGCGGCGGCGGCCUCGCCCGCCUCGGUUUGAUCUCAUAACAGAUUGAUACACCAAAUAGGAGCCGACGUGCGCUGCUAAAGAUGCCAAUGGUAAUUAAUUAGCAUCUCAUUUUGUGAGCGGCACAACAGGACGCAGAGCUUGCCUCUCCGUGCCAUUCCCCCCCAAGGCUCGGCGCUAUCAGGGUCAAAAUCCCGGCUCGGCGCUCUGAGGGCCGCUUAAUAAAUUGAGGAGGGCAAGUUGACAGUCGGGUUUUCGUGGCGCGCCCCGUCUCGCUGGUUCCCCCCCCGGCGCCCCUGGCUACGGCGAACGCUGCCGUGGAACGCGGCUCGGGACAUCAAAAGGCGCCUUGAGAUGCGUCUCGUCGGAGCUAUUAGCAUUAUUAGCAUAUUGGCGUUUCGACAUUUGGCUCGCGUGUCUGAUGGAAAAGAGGUCAAGCGCUACUCAGGAGGUGUAAUAUUUUGAAGUGGGGGGGCCCCACCUCGCCAAAAUAAGAGCUUUUCCCGCCUGGCUUUAGCGGCGUAUCGUUUCCUCAUAAACCAUGGGCGUGUUCUUUUAUUACAUCUGAAGGCCGAGUUGUUUUUCACAAAGAAUAUUGUUUCCACUUCAUAGCUGCGAGUCGUCUCUCUUCAUUCCCCGUUGCUGAGUGAAACCUGGCCGGGGGUCACAGAGUUCUCCACGUAUUACAGCUCACUAAAUGACCAUGGAAAGUUUGAACUCAGGUACGCAAAAGAAAAACAGCAGAACUGCAGUUACAGGCAUUUUCCAUGACAGCAGCAAUCUAAUCCUCUCGUUUUCUUCUUCUUCUUUUGGGGUAAGAUGUUUUUAUAAACGCCUCGGGGUUUUCGUUGCCUCAACCGCACUCUGUGUGUGUGUGUGUGUGUGUGUGUGUGUGUGUGUCCCUCUUUUUCCCCCCUUUCUUUUUUCUUUCAGCGGUGUGUGUGUGUGUGUGUGUGUGUGUGUGUGUGCAAAUAACCUACGAGCUGCAGGAAAGCUCAGAGGUGGAAAAAGAGGAGCGAUGACAAAAGACAGAAGAGCAGAACCGAUUUGUUUGAUCAAAACGUGGCUCUGGUUCGGCCCAAACGGACCCCCGCCUCAGCCCCAAUCCAGCUUCGCAUUAAUUCACAACCUCCACAAACCCGUGGAGACCCGCUGGUGCUUCAUCAUCGGCCGCUCGCGUCUGCAAAUUACACAAACGAAAACGCGGGUUGAAAUGGAGAAGACCUGUGUCAACAAACGCGCCGCGCUCCACUGUUUACCUGAAGGCUUUGCGUCUCGGGUUCACUGUUUUCGAGAAAUGUUUCUGCUUCCCGGGAUCAAGAGGAAGGAACAAAGGCUGAAACAUUUGUUGUGAAUUAAGUCUCGAGAGGACGCGGGUUGAAAGAGGAAAGGCACUUAGGCCUCGGCCCGAGGAGCGAUGGGGGUACGCUAGGUGGAUGGAAGCGCCCUGCUUCUGCCAACCGCGCCGCCACGCUCGGAUACCGGCCCUUAUUGGAUCCAGGCCUCGCAGAUUUGGCGGGGGGGGGGGGACGAGGCACGGCUCGCCCGCCCAGUCAAACCACAACAGAAGGCAUGAAAACAAACUUUCUCAGAAUAGCAGUGCUCUCCGUACUUUGGCUGCCGGUUCAAAGAUUUGUGGGGAAAUGUUUGAUCUCGGUUCAAUAAUCAGACGUUUUAGUCGGGCGACUCGGCGCUUUGCUGUCUCCAAACGGCAGCGAGAGGCAACUGCCCCGGCAUGUGCGGCCUCUCACCCCGGGCAGGUAUAACAAGCCGCGCUCGGACACCUGUCAGUCACCUCGGCUACCUGCCGGCGGCCCGGGCGCAGCCGGCACCCCGCCUGCCUUAACGCGAGCGCUCAUCUGAGACAAAUGUUCUUCCUCUAGAGCUUCUUCUAAAACCUGUUGUUAGUCACAGUUACAUUGAUGAGAAACUGCGCAGAUUAAAAUGCAUCAAUUGAAUCUCCUGCAGCCGCUCACCUGCUGGCAGCGACGGACUGAUUGGGAAUGAAAAAAGAUGCAUAAACAGUCUUGUAUUGACUUUUUGAUUAAUUAAGAAGAAAAGAAGAUACAAUAUUUACCAAAGAGCAGCUUUAAAGAGCCAGAAUCCGCGUUGCAGCUUUGGAUAUUUGAGUAAAGCGUUGAUAAUAGAAUAAAACAAACAGCGGGGCGCAGAAGGAUGUACAUCAGGAGAACAUCAAUGCAUAAUAAGCACCUGCAGUUAGCCCAGCCACUGGCAUAUCCUAAUUAAUGCGCUGUCUGUGUGUGCAGUCAGUCAGAGGAGGCUCAGCCUAAUUUGGGUGGGGGUUGGGUGGGGGUGCCGAUCAGAUCCCGGUAUAAUUGUGGGUGACUCCAGCCGCUCUCAGUCGGCGGGGUGGGACGCGGCUCAGGUCUCCAGAGAACGCUAAAAAACUGUAAAUUCCCCCUUCAUCAUGUGAACAUGUGCCCUGCAGAGCUCGCUAGUGGAACACAGACAUGGGGGGGGGGGGGGCGGGGGGGGGGGGCAGAGAGGGGAAAAAAAGUGUUUUACAUUCACAGAUGAUCCUAAUUUGGUGUGGUUUGGAGUGUAAUUUAGAUCAAACACAGCCAUGUAAAUGAGUCAGGGAUUUCAUAAUUAGGUGGAGGGUGGAGAGCGAGAGGGGAAGAGCUCGGACCACAUCAGUAGGUGUGGCGUGGAGGCCGUGCAUCCACCGAGGGGGGGGGGGGGGGGGGGGAUUAGUUUAGGAGAAAACACACACUCCCAGCGGCACACGGCAACAAAAUAGGUCACUCUGCGCCGAUUUGGCUUGUCUGUUUCCACUAAGCAACCGCCGCAGCUCCCUGUUCGGCUAGGAUGGGGGGGGGG
Long non-coding RNA from Gasterosteus aculeatus aculeatus (three-spined stickleback), 13628 nucleotides. NCBI's taxonomy places the organism in Eukaryota, Metazoa, Chordata, Actinopteri, Perciformes, Gasterosteidae. The record is from Ensembl.